Long non-coding RNA from Dreissena polymorpha, 2281 nucleotides. RefSeq lists it as uncharacterized. The transcript has 2 exons. The record is from RefSeq and is a predicted model, not a curated record. Lineage: Eukaryota; Metazoa; Mollusca; Bivalvia; Myida; Dreissenidae.
ACCCCCCCCCCAAAAAAAAAAAAAUUAUUAUUUUUUCUUUUUUUUGAAAGAUCAUCUAUUAAAUGACCACCCACCCACAUUAUACCCCCCUCUCCAUGAUGGCUUACGUUAUACUGUCAAGCACUCGAAUAGUCUAGUGGCUGUCUUCUGACAGCUCUUGUUAUGCCUCCUGGCAGGGUGGCAUAUAGCAGUCGCACUGUCAGUCGUCUGUCCAGCAUUCUGUUUUCCAGCAUUUUUUUUAUGCAACGCUUUCAGAUAUUUAGCUGAAUUUUGGCAUGUGAGUCUACCUACUUAACAUACAGAUGAAGUGUGAGUUUCAUUCUGGUCCAUUGAAUUUUGGCGAAGGUUUGGGUCUGGGACUUAAUAAUUUAGUAAGGGGUAUUGUGCUUCACAAACAUGUCACGUUAAUUCAUGAUUUAUUAUUUAAAAUCAAGUUACUAGCAAUUAAGAUAUUGUUGGUAAAAGUGACAUAAUUAAUUGAUUGUUGUCAUGAGGGUGGUAAUUAAUAUAUCUCAUCUUAAGGAGCAAGUCCGAGAAGUAUUAUACAGUUUAGUUAAGUUUGUCAAUUGUAAACAACAACAAAGAGUGCUGUGUGUAUUUCUAGUUAUUUUUCAUGGUGUUUUAUGUUUAUAUUUUGUACUUGGUCUGAGUAUAUGCAUGAAUAGACCAUAGGAUUGUGAAAGAAAUUAUGCCUUCAUCAAAAAGACUCUGUGAAACCUGUAAAACAGACAAAUAUGAAAAAAAUAAUGUGAGCUUAGUAAGACUCAGACACUGUCUGACAAGAAAUUUGAAAAGUUCACAUGUAACAGGCAUGCCUUGUUAUGCCCAUUUCGAAGAAGAAGGGGUAUAUUUUUUUGCUUGCUGUCUGUCUGUAGACCAGUCUGAUUGUCUAUACAACAGUUCGUUUCCGAUCAAUAAUUCGUCAACUGUUUGGCUUGAUACUUCACAUGUGCAUUGUCCUUGGACAUUACAUGACCCCUAUUGAAAUUGGGGUAACUAGGUCACUUAGUGUGAAAAUCAUUUCCAAUCAAUAACUCGUCAACGAAUUGACCGAUUUGCUUGAUACUUCACAUGCGCAUUGGCCUUGGACAGUAGAUAACCCCUCUUUAAAUUGGGGUCACUAGGUCAAGGGUCAAGGUCACUAUCACACUUAGUGUGAAAAUUGUUUCCGAUCAAUAACUCAUCAAUGAAUAGACCGAUUAUCUUGAUACUUCACAUGGGCAUUGGCCUUGGACAGUAGAUGACCCCUAUUGAAAUUGGAGUCACUAGUUCAAAGCCUGGUCACUGUAAGAUCUACUAGGUCAAGGUCACUAUCACACUAAGUGUGAUAAUUGUUUCCGAUCAAUAACUCGUCAACGAAUUGGCUUGAUACUUCACAUGUGCAGUAUCAAUGAAAAUUGUUUCUGAUAAAUAACUCGUCAAUGAAUUGACCGCUCAGCUUGAUACUUCCCAUGUGUGUUGGCCUUGGACAGUAGAUGACCCCUAUUGAAAUUCAGGUCACUAUGUUAAAGGUCAAGGUCACUGUCACAAUAAGUGUGAAAAUUGUUUUCGAUCAAUAUCUCAUCAACAAAUUGACCGAUUGGCUUUAUACCUCACGUGGGCAUUGGCCUUGUACAGUAGAUGACCCCUAUUGAAAUUGAAGUCACUAGUUCAAAGCCCUGUUUGGAGGGGCAUAUGUCGCCGACCGCGGAAGACUUGUUGACAGCAAUUUUCCUAAUCUUUUACAACAUUUCAAAAUAAUCAGACAUGUCGGACACGUCAUUCAAAUAUUGUUUUCAGUCUGCUAGAAGUGAAGGAAUAGUGCUUUGCACCCGUCUGCUGUUCAGUCAGUCAGAUAAUGGAUUAAUAGACAAUGUUGAUUUCGAGCUAAAAUGUUGUGAGCUUAUUAACCUUUGAAUAUAGGUAUAUCAGUAGAAAGGCUAUAGGAGGAAAAGAAGGCACUCAUGAGUUGGAGGUCAAAGGUCAAGGUCACAGUCUAAAUUAUCAAUUUUCAAUUCCCAUAAUUACAUAACCCUUAUGUUAUUUAAAUUAUGGUAAAAAACUUAUGAUACAUUCCUUAUUGUAGAUAUGUCAUGUAUGUGUGCUGUUAAUGCUCAAGAAUUAUAAUGACUGCCUAAGGCUAAAAUUGUUUCAGGUCAGUUACAGUAGGGGGCUUACAUGUUUUAUGACUAUGUUUGGUUUAUUUUAUUGUUGCAUGAAUGCUUUUUAGUGUGUCUGUUUUUCCCAUUUACAGAUCAUUAAAGCUUACUGCAUUUUAUUGCAUUAAACAUGAAAAAUCGAA